UACGAGGGGGGCGAGCGUUGUUCGGAAUUAUUGGGCGUAAAGGGCGCGUAGGCGGUGCGGUAAGUCACCUGUGAAACCUCUAGGCUUAACCUAGAGCCUGCAGGCGAAACUGCCGUGCUGGAGUGUGGGAGAGGUGCGUGGAAUUCCCGGUGUAGCGGUGAAAUGCGCAGAUAUCAGGAGGAACACCAAUGGCGAAGGCAGCUCGCUGGGACGGUACUGACGCUGAGGCGCGAAAGCGUGGGGAGCAAACAGG
RNAcentral lists this ribosomal RNA (253 nucleotides) under uncultured bacterium. RNAcentral describes it as "partial 16S ribosomal RNA". It matches the Rfam family "Bacterial small subunit ribosomal RNA", at positions 524 to 776 of the family's 1533-position model. The record is from RNAcentral.